Molecule: long non-coding RNA, 1129 nt
Filed under: Anser brachyrhynchus (Pink-footed goose)
Lineage: Eukaryota; Metazoa; Chordata; Aves; Anseriformes; Anatidae
Description: lncRNA (ENSABRG00000019383.1)
Source: RNAcentral
GGAAAGUAUUUACUAUAUUAUAGUUGAAGAUGGGUGGAUAAUUUCCACUUUUCUCCAGUGAUUCCUUGUAAAAUGUUUUCAGCUCUUUUUUUUUUUUUUUUUUCAUUUUUGGUAACUUUUUGUGAAUAAAAAUGAGAAGCUGAUUUUUGUUAUUAACAGUUGCAAUCAUGCUUAACCUUGCAGAAAACCUGAUGCCUUGUCACAUUUUUGCUGAAAUCAUGUGUCUUGGGAAAGAAAGUUCUACCAGAACCAUUUUUCUCCUCUGCAGAGAGGAAAAAUUGUUCUCCACCAGCAGGCAUUGAUUGACAGCCUUCUGAUGAGAGAAAAGUACAGCUAAGUUGCAAAAAGCGGGAGGUGGCACGUGCGGCAUUAUUCCACUUGACCCUCUCAACAGCCAAAGAAAUAGUCAAGCUCUCAGCCAUGCACAGCAAUGCCAAGGUGGUGUGAAGCAGUCUCCCAUCUUCACAGAAGAGCAGCUGCUGAGAAGGAAACUGGAGAAGGAUGAAGACAAAAAGGCCAAUAGGAGGAAUCUGUACAGCUAUUUGCUUGGACACAACACCAAAAAGGCCUCUCUUGAAGGGAGCUCUUAAGGGUGACUAAUUUUUUCUUCAAACUCAGUAUUAAUUUUCUGAAAUGUAUUAAGCCAAAGGGAUUUUUUAAGCUUGUCUAAUAAGUAACUAUGAAUGCCAGAUGCAUUUGUCACCUCAUCUAUCUAAGGUUUGUUUGUUUUCUUUCUCUUCCAUCGGCCUCAUUGGGCAGCGCUGUAGCAGUCAGCAGCGCUCAGCCACUGCGAAUGGGCUGGAGGCCAUGCUUCUUCCCCCGGCCAGGUGCACCACGUGCUGCCUCCUCGCCAGCUGUAGUUACUCAGUGCUGUGAAUUUCAUUUUGGACAAGCAUGGAUUUCAGUUAAUGAUGGAAAUGUGCACAGUGUUGAUGCCCUCUCUAUUACUGAACUAAACAAAGCCACUGGUCUCUGAAAGCAAUGAUAGAAGUUACUCCAGUCUCCACAGGGAUAAUUAGGUAAGAACAUGGCUACAGAUGCUGACUAGGUCUCCACUUUCUGAAGUCUGUGCUUCUGCUUGCAGAGUCCCUCUGCUACAACAGUGAAUAAACUAACUAUAUCUUUAACA